Molecule: long non-coding RNA, 407 nt
Organism: Haliotis rubra (blacklip abalone)
Lineage: Eukaryota; Metazoa; Mollusca; Gastropoda; Lepetellida; Haliotidae
Exons: 3
Source: RefSeq, a predicted model, not a curated record
ACACAUGUUCCCCUCGUGUUUUUCUUUUUACCAGAUAAGAGAGAGGAAACAUACACGAGAAUGUUCAGACUUUUGUGCGAUGCCUGCGUGACGAGAGGCUAUUUGAUGGAACCGCAAAAGAUUCAGAUGGACUAUGAAAUCGCCGCACGGAAUGCCUCUGCAACUGUCUUCCCCCAAGCAGAAUGGAAAGGUUGUUUUUUCAUUACACCCAGUGUAUAUGGAGGAAAACCCAACAGCAUCAACUGCAGACGGCAUACAGUGAAAAUGCUGUGCUGCCACUGAUACCAGUCCACGAGGUUGAGGAGCUGUGGCUGGACACAUUAGCAGCCAUGCCCGACGACCCAUGAUGCCGAGACAUCAGUGACUACAUCACCAGCUACUGGAUCGAGGGUGACCUCCAUAAACCA